UGGUUCCAAAUUGUUGCACGAAUAGUCCUUAUGACAUACUCCGUUUAAUUGUUGCCGUUUAUCUAAAUCACGUGACCCUCACACGAGGGUAUUUUCGUCAUUUGCUUUGUUACACGAAAUGAUCAUAUACAUAAAUGAUCCUUACAUCCAGCUGCCAUUUACGUUGCCCCAAGAAAUCGUCCCUUUCUUUUCUCCUCUGGUUUAUCAUCUUCGUCACUGCAAAACAUCAAACGGAAACUAGGGUUUUCAUCUUCAUCAUUUGCGAUGGUUCUAACUUUGUGGCAUGUCCGUUCAAAAUUCUCAGAAAAUCCUGACCUGAUCAAAGCUUAUGGUGAGUGAUCAGUUAACAACUUCCAAUUUUGUUAAGUAAUUUAUGCACAUUCAAUUUUGAGACUUCAUUCUUUCCUCAUAUCAUUAUUUAUUUGUUUUUCAGUUGAGUUAAGUAGUUUUUGCACAUUCAAGAUUCACCAUGGGGGUAUGUUCACAAAAUACCCAGGAAGACGUUACGUUGGUGGGAGUAUUAACUAUGUUGACUACGUAGACAUGGAUGUGUUCU
RNAcentral lists this long non-coding RNA (556 nucleotides) under Lactuca sativa (garden lettuce). Its description in RNAcentral is "long non-coding RNA (LSAT_LNC001839)". Lineage: Eukaryota; Viridiplantae; Streptophyta; Magnoliopsida; Asterales; Asteraceae. The record is from RNAcentral.